CUGAAAACUUCCUGUGAGGAGUCUCUGAGCUCCUCCUGUCUGUUAUUGUUUACGGUGAGACUGAUGCAAAGUAGGUCAUGGAAAACGGGAAGCUCAGCUAGCAUUCAGUUGCUGUGCAUUAACGGUCGAGGAACGAAGUCUUCGAGGUGUUGUCAGUUAUUUUCCGUGACUGCUGGUUGUACACAAUAGGCAGCUGCUGGACUGAUGCUGUUCUUCCAGUAUCUGGAUUGAACUGAUCUGACUGGUGAGACUUGACUUGCUGCCAUGUCCAGACGAAACAGGAACAGUCGUGCAUGGCGAUAUGUAUGGGGCGGGAUACGGAGGGAUGCUGACGCCCGGGCGCUUGUGUUGGCCUCUGAAGGUGAAGAGUGGACGUAUGACCGUUUAGAAUACAGCGAUUCAGAUUCUGAGGCAGACUUUUCAGCUGUGAUGGUCCCUCCAGUCCCCAGUGCAGUGCCUGUCACCGGAGAGUCCUACUGUGGCUGCGAUUCCCAGGCUGAGACCAACUACAACCCGCGUCUGCGAGGUUUUCACCAAGUGAAAGACUGCCACUGUGGAGAAGAUGACCAAGACUUUGAUUGGGUUUGGGAUACCAACAGCCGAUCGACAGCAACAUUACUGAGUUGUGACAAUCGCAAAGUGAACUUCCAUUCUGAAUAUAGCUGUGGUACAGCAGCAAUCCGUGGCUCCAAGGAGCUGGCUGAAGGGCAGCACUUCUGGGAAAUCAAGAUGACCUCCCCGGUGUAUGGAACAGACAUGAUGGUUGGCAUUGGUACUUCUGAUGUUAAUCUAGACAAAUACAGACACACGUUCUGCAGCCUGUUGGGAAAAGAUACAGACAGCUGGGGUCUUUCUUACACUGGCUUGCUGCAUCAUAAAGGAGAUAAGAUGAAUUUCUCCUCCCGGUUUGGACAGGGGUCCAUCAUCGGAGUCCAUUUGGACACGUGGCACGGCACACUCACUUUCUUCAAGAAUCGCAAGUGUAUAGGUGUUGCUGCCACAGAGCUACGAAAUAAGAGGUUUUAUCCGAUGGCAUGCUCCACGGCAGCAAAGAGCAGCAUGAAGGUGAUCAGAUCCUGCUCUGUGCCCACCUCUCUGCUUUACCUUUGCUGUGCUCGCCUUCGCCAGCUGCUGCCAGACUGCAUAGACACCCUGGAUGUGUUGCCGCUGCCGCCAGGCCUACGUCACUUGCUCCACAACAAACUGGGCUGGGUGCUCAGUCUCAAUAGUGGCACCACAGAAGAAACCCCAGAUGGACCUGAGCGCCCCUCACGCUUGCCUGCCCCCCCGAUGGCUGGACCGUCCUCCUCUGAGAGUGACUCAGAGGGUUGUACAUCUGACCCUGAGGCCUGUCAGAGGAAGAGAUGCCGCUGGACUUGACUGAACAACUUGAAUCCUACCUCCUCUUAAACACUGGUAGACGUUACUGUCCCGUGGCAUACAGUCUAAUUUUUCCUACCUGCCUCAAGCUUCUCUCCAACAGUGAUGUCCAGUAGUGAAGAACAUAACCAGGAAUGGAGCGGUUGCCAAAGUGAGAAUCAGUGGGAAACUGUGCCCCAUGAGUGGAACAGUAAGGAAGUGAUACGGUCCAUAGACCCUAUUUUUUAUUUCUUGGCCGCAGGUUACAGCUCGAAAGCAAAACCAUCAACUGCCACAAAUAUGUAAGCUUAAGAAAUGUUAAGUGGAGGUGAAAUAAACCUGAAUGUACUUAGAAGGUUUUAGUCCUGCAAAAAUGAAAAUAUUCCUGUCAUGCAACCACCAUCACCUCUAGGAGAACUCAUACAACUGUGAUUUCUCAAUUUUUGUUUCUUGAGAAACAAAACUUAAAAGUCAAAUAUUUGUUAGGUUUAGGGCAACAUCCAUCUAUCACCAGCUGUCUUGAGGAAACCUUAUGAACUAAAGUACGGAUUUCCUCAUUCCUAAUAAAUGAAAGUAAGGCAGUAUAUGCUGUAAUUUAGUGUAGCUUUUUUAAAUCUGACCAGGAGAUAGGAAUCAGGUCACUGACAAGAGACUGCCACACAUUUUGACUUUUCAUUGUUGUUACACUAAUUAUUUUUUAGAACUUUUUUAAACUUAAGAACUGCAAAGAUGUUCUUCUAGUUUUCCCAAGGCUUUCACAUCACUUCCUUUACCAACUCCUCUUGACUUUUAGUAUCCAGCACUCAGCCCCUGGUGGUGUAGAAGAUGGCUGUAAAUAUGUACUAGUUUCCCCAUCAUGUGUUAUAAACAUGAAAGGAGUUUCAUGAUUGUAGAAACUUCUCCUGCACAUGACUCAGCUCUCUGUGUGCUUAGAGUGUUUAUAACAAUAGAUUUUUUGUAAUUAG
Molecule: RNA transcript, 2324 nt
Organism: Scatophagus argus
Lineage: Eukaryota; Metazoa; Chordata; Actinopteri; Scatophagidae
Gene: spsb3a
Gene name: splA/ryanodine receptor domain and SOCS box containing 3a
Exons: 8
Source: RefSeq, a predicted model, not a curated record